Parus major (Great Tit) is the source of this 1079-nucleotide long non-coding RNA. RefSeq lists it as uncharacterized. The transcript has 3 exons. The record is from RefSeq and is a predicted model, not a curated record. NCBI's taxonomy places the organism in Eukaryota, Metazoa, Chordata, Aves, Passeriformes, Paridae.
UAACAUUAUGGUGACUUUGCAUAGAUUUUUUGCCUUAAUGCAAAUAGGGAAAUGAUUUUCUAAUCAGCAUAGACAAGACAUUUUGGGUAAACUUUUGCCCUCAAUAUUAUGACUGAUUUUCUCCUGGCCCUUCAUCCUGCAAAGACAAGAUUUUUCAUCCUGAUUCAGAAUGGGAGGAAUAAUCUCCAGGUGGGAAUUAUUCACAUGCCCUGGUUCAGGACCAGCUGCACCUCAGUCAACUGCUGCUCCUCGCAGAGGAGAUGAGGAUGAUGCUGAAUAAAUGCCCCUACGGACUGAUGGAAAUCCAAAUGUCUCCUCUCCCAGUUUGCUUCCUGAGCCGUGCUGGCCUCAUCUCAGUGCUGGUUUUUAAUGCUGUGAGAGAUGCUCCACUGGGGAAGUUCCUGGUAGCAGCUCCAAGGCUCUGUGAGGAAGGAGAUCAGCAGUAACACAGGGGUGAAGGGGGUCAGGCUCCAGGGGCUGUCGAGAUGUGAAGGCUGUGAAUGUUAAAAUGAAUUUUUGCACUGAGGCACAGGGAAGAGUUUCCCUCCUUGGCUCAGUGGGGGAGAUCUCGUCUCCCUCCAGAGGAUCAUGGCAAAUCUAGUGCUGGAUCAAGUGAGCUUAUCUCCUGUGCUGCCUGUCCUCUCCUUGCAGGAGCAGCCCAUAAAUCCAGGCAUUCUGACCUUCCUGUGGCAGAUGCUGUGGUAUCCAUCACAAACCCUGGUAAGGCUGUAUCUGCCCUGGUGUGUGCUGGUGCCUCCCUUUCCAGCCCCAAGGGCACAGAACAGAUACCUGUCUUACCUGGGAUGGUGCAAGAACAACAGCAACCCUCUGCUCUCUGCCUGAAACACCCUCUGACACGAGCUGCAGUUUCAGGGGCAUCUUUUAUUAAUUAAAAAAGAGAUCAACUGCAGAUCUGAUCUCACACCAAAUUACCUCACUUGUUCACUGGCACCAGGGAGCAACAUCAGAAGGGGUGUUAACUAAAUUUGUGUUUGCUUUGCUCUGGUAAAGCAACUCCACAGCCUAGAACAUUGCAGAGGUUAGCAGGGCACAGAAAAAAAUAUAGGUGAAUAGAGCCU